Molecule: ribosomal RNA, 436 nt
Filed under: uncultured bacterium
Lineage: Bacteria
Description: partial 16S ribosomal RNA
Rfam family: Bacterial small subunit ribosomal RNA
Source: RNAcentral
GAUGAACGCUGGCGGUAUGCUUAACACAUGCAAGUCGAACGGGGUUCAUAGUCACCUAGUGGCGGACGGGUGAGUAACGCGUGAGAAUCUGGCCUCAGGUCCGGGACAACCACGGGAAACGGUGGCUAAUACCGGAUGUGCCAUAUUGGUGAAAGAUUAAUUGCCUGAGGAUGAGCUCGCGUCUGAUUAGCUAGUUGGUGGGGUAAAGGCUUACCAAGGCGACGAUCAGUAACUGGUCUGAGAGGAUGACCAGUCACACUGGGACUGAGACACGGCCCAGACUCCUACGGGAGGCAGCAGUGGGGAAUUUUCCGCAAUGGGCGAAAGCCUGACGGAGCAAUACCGCGUGAGGGAGGAAGGCUCUUGGGUUGUAAACCUCUUUUUUCAGGGAAGAAGAAUGACGGUACCUGAGGAAUCAGCAUCGGCUAACUCCGUG